UGGGAGAUCGUCCAACGGUAGGACUCCAGAUUCUGGAUCUGGCUAUCUAGGUUCGAAUCCUAGUCUCCCAGCCA
RNAcentral lists this transfer RNA (74 nucleotides) under Acidobacteria bacterium 13_1_40CM_4_57_6. RNAcentral describes it as "tRNA-Gln". It matches the Rfam family "tRNA". Rfam says of the family: Transfer RNA (tRNA) molecules are approximately 80 nucleotides in length. Their secondary structure includes four short double-helical elements and three loops (D, anti-codon, and T loops). RNAcentral also lists the same sequence under 11 other names. Lineage: Bacteria; Pseudomonadati; Acidobacteriota. The record is from RNAcentral.